AAUGUUUUCAUUCAGAUCUCAAGUACCUACAGCUAACCUUCUCAUAUUUUUUGCCUUGAAUUUAGGUGACAGGAGAGAAUACUGAGGAUAAAAACACUUCGGGGAAUAAAACUGGUUCGAUCAGUGAUUCAAGUGCCAGAAUACCUGAAAUCAGAAUUGAUGGAAGGAAUCUCUAUCAGGAGCAAAAUGAAAAAGAAAAUUCAGGAGAAUUGGAAUCUGUCAUCCAAUCAAUAGUCCAUCAAACUCAGAGUGAUCCUCUCUUUCAAAACUUUCUGAAUGAGUUCUUUAACGGUGAAAAAAACAGUGAUAAUGUUCCCACAAAAUGUUCAAAAGCUGAGUCUGAAAAUCCUACCUCGGUUUCCAAGAAUCAAACAAAAGGAGUUGAAACUGACAAAGACUCAGAGACAAAUGUUGCAUCACGGACCAAUUUGAAAGAGAGCAAAGAUCCUCUAUGCAGCACUGAAGGUAAUCUCUCAUCAGUCAAUGAGUCCAAAAUUAAUUAUGUGGAAGAUGAAGAAUCAAGCAAAACCAUAUCUGAAGAAAACGAUCAGCAACUAUUAGAAAUUAAUACUUCAGCUCCCACUAAUACUGCUGUGGUAGAAUCAAACAUAUCCAAUAAGAUCCAGCAAGCACAAUCAGUUAAGAAGCCAAGCAAACCAGCAAAAGUAGCGGAAAAGAUGCCAAGCCAUUUGGCUCCAACAAACCAUCAAACAUUUUCAGUCGUGAAAAUGGGAAAGGCUACCUCCUCCACCCAGAAAAAUCCCUCAACUUCCAGUAUUGUUGUACUUGACGCUACUUCCACAGUGCCAACCUCAAUCCAAACUGGCACCGGCACUGUGCCCCUUCCGCAUCGGAUGGUGACUUUACCCAACCAUCCAGCUACUUCCUUGAUGAAACCGAUUUCUGCUCUCUCUCCCAGCUUAUUUGCAAACAGUACGCUGCCUUUGAACAGGAAGAAAAAUAUACCUCCAACUGUCCUAAUCACUGAAGAUCUGCUGAACCCUCCGAAGCACGGUAUCUGUAAGUAUAUUUUCAGUUUUGUGUUUGAACUGUCGAAAGUUUCAAUUUAGUAGCCGAUUUGUGUAUUAUUUAAAACUUAAGAUUUUAUAAUUACUAUCCUCUUUUCCUUUACUCAUUCUGUUCUCAGUUGUCUUUAGUCUGUCGUACAAGCAAAACCCGGUUGUUCGAGUAUUUUUUUGCGUUAAUAAAAGUUAAGGUUAAACCAUAUGAUACAAAGUUAGCACAAAGUUUUUAAUGCAUAGAAAAUGAAACCAGGAGAAAUGAAAAAGCUAUGAGAGUGCCUCAUACUCUACUGUGACUCUACUGUAGAGUGCCUACUGUUGCUGUAACGGUAUCUUAUGUAUUUUUCUCCCUUCUUGGCGCACAGAUCAUUCUUACAUCUACUUCUCAACGUGAGCAGGGAUCAAAUUUUCUUGUCUCCUCUGUUAACAACUUCUCCAUUCAGAAUGGCAACUGUAUUCCCAUUAUUCACCCAGAGCUCAUCAGAGCACUCUGUAUUAAUCUCUCCGUUGUUUUCAAAGCCACUAUUUCAACCAAUUGAUGAGUUCAUACGACUUCAAAAUUAUUUAUAAAGCAUCAGAGAAAAUUGUGUUAACAUCUAAUUAAUCUUUAAAAUAGACUGAUGAACAAAAUAUCUGUCCUGCAAGCCAC
Molecule: long non-coding RNA, 1671 nt
Filed under: Bemisia tabaci
Lineage: Eukaryota; Metazoa; Arthropoda; Insecta; Hemiptera; Aleyrodidae
Description: lncRNA ENSASIAIIG013107
Source: RNAcentral